This 545-nucleotide ribosomal RNA is filed under the name uncultured bacterium. Its description in RNAcentral is "bacterial SSU rRNA". It matches the Rfam family "Bacterial small subunit ribosomal RNA", at positions 776 to 1320 of the family's 1533-position model. The record is from RNAcentral.
GAAUAGAUACCCGGGUAGUCCACCCCGUAAACGUUGGGAACUAGUUGUGGGUCCUUUCCACGGAUUCCGUGACGCAGCUAACGCAUUAAGUUCCCCGCCUGGGGAGUACGGCCGCAAGGCUAAAACUCAAAGGAAUUGACGGGGACCCGCACAAGCGGCGGAGCAUGCGGAUUAAUUCGAUGCAACGCGAAGAACCUUACCAAGGCUUGACAUACACCAGAACACCCUAGAAAUAGGGGACUCUUUGGACACUGGUGAACAGGUGGUGCAUGGUUGUCGUCAGCUCGUGUCGUGAGAUGUUGGGUUAAGUCCCGCAACGAGCGCAACCCUCGUUCUAUGUUGCCAGCACGUAAUGGUGGGAACUCAUGGGAUACUGCCGGGGUCAACUCGGAGGAAGGUGGGGAUGACGUCAAAUCAUCAUGCCCCUUAUGUCUUGGGCUUCACGCAUGCUACAAUGGCCGGUACAAAGGGCUGCAAUACCGUGAGGUGGAGCGAAUCCCAAAAAGCCGGUCCCAGUUCGGAUUGAGGUCUGCAACUCGACCUCA